GGUUGCGAUCAUACCAACACUAAUGCACCGGAUCUCAUCAGAACUUCGCAGCUAAGCGUGCUUGGGCGAGAGUAGUACUAGGAUGGGUGACCCCCUGGGAAGUCCUCGUGUUGCAACCC
This 119-nucleotide ribosomal RNA is filed under the name Helianthus annuus (common sunflower). The record is from RNAcentral. Lineage: Eukaryota; Viridiplantae; Streptophyta; Magnoliopsida; Asterales; Asteraceae.